This 108-nucleotide ribosomal RNA is filed under the name Gloeocystidiellum clavuligerum. RNAcentral's name for it is "partial 5.8S ribosomal RNA". The stretch from base 1 to 86 matches the Rfam family "5.8S ribosomal RNA", at positions 69 to 154 of the family's 154-position model. From Rfam's summary of the family: 5.8S ribosomal RNA (5.8S rRNA) is a component of the large subunit of the eukaryotic ribosome. It is transcribed by RNA polymerase I as part of the 45S precursor that also contains 18S and 28S rRNA. The record is from RNAcentral. Lineage: Eukaryota; Fungi; Basidiomycota; Agaricomycetes; Russulales; Gloeocystidiellaceae.
GAAUUGCAGAAUUCAGUGAAUCAUCGAAUCUUUGAACGCACCUUGCACCCCUUGGUAUUCCGAGGGGUACGCCUGUUUGAGUGUCGUGAAAUCCUCAACUCUCCUCCU